This 774-nucleotide ribosomal RNA is filed under the name uncultured Neocallimastigales. Its description in RNAcentral is "partial large subunit ribosomal RNA". It matches the Rfam family "Eukaryotic large subunit ribosomal RNA", at positions 22 to 628 of the family's 3401-position model. Lineage: Eukaryota; Fungi; Neocallimastigomycota; Neocallimastigomycetes; Neocallimastigales. The record is from RNAcentral.
GUACACGCUGUGACUAGCAUAUCAAUAAGCGGAGGAAAAGAAACUAACAAGGAUUCCCCUAGUAACGGCGAGUGAAGCGGGAAGAGCUCAAAUUUGAAAUCUUAAAGGGUUUCCCUUUACGAAUUGUAGUUUAAAGAAGUGUUUUCUGUUGAGGUUUUGGUAAAAGUUCUUUGGAAUAGGACAUCAUAGAGGGUGAGAAUCCCGUAUUUGACCUUUACUUUCAACUUUGUGAUACACUUCCAAAGAGUCGGAUUGUUUGGGAAUGCAGUCCAAAAUGGGUGGUAAAUUUCAUCUAAAGCUAAAUAUUGGCGAGAGACCGAUAGCGAACAAGUACCGUGAGGGAAAGAUGAAAAGAACUUUGAAAAGAGAGUUAAACAGUACGUGAAAUUGUCAAAAGGGAAGCGUUUGACACCAGUGUUGUUUUUCUGAAAAUCAAUUAAAGAACUGUUUAUGCUAAGCUGUUUAGACUUUAUCAGCUAUCUGUUUAGUUUUGAGCUUUUCUUUAAUGCACUUUUCAGUUAACAAGUCAACAUCAAUUUCUUUUGCUGUAAAAAAGCUUGAGGAAGGUGGCUUGAGAUUCGUCUUAAGUGUUUAUAGCCUCUUGCCUAUGCAGUCGGAGAGAUUGAGGUCUGCAGCGUAGAUCCUUCGGGGCUAAAUGCAUUUGUGCUAAGUUAUAGCAUUUUAUAGACAACUUGUUGACUAUGAUUUGUCUUGUAGCUUACUCGCUUAUGUUAUUUUACCUACGCUUAGGAUGUUGAGUCGUAGAGCACGCAG